UCAAACCCGCAUCCUCAUGGCUACUAGCAGGACUCAUUUCCACUGAGCCACGACGGGAACUUCAGUAAAUUAACAAGAGUAAAUUAACAGAGUUUGCAAGUGAUCAAGCUGUGUGAUCUAGAGCCAGCCUGUUUAUCCUCUGCUUGUCUCCAGACUCAUCUGUAAAAUGGGACCGAAUGACCAACUCUCAGUGUUGCUAUGAGAAUUCAGAGUGAUAGCUGUGCCCCCAAACUGUUCUUCCCCCUCCCUUCCACCCACUUGAAAGACAGAGGUGCCCACAUCAGCUCACGCUCCCCCCUUGCCAGGUAGGUAGAAAAGUCCCUGAGAUGGAGGUGAAGACAUGCUCUGAAUUCAGUGACAUAUGUCCUCAUACAAGGGAUGUGUUAUUAUUAUUAUUAUUAUUGUUACUGAUUUGAAAGGCACUGAUUUAAAUAAUUGAGCCAUAUUGAGCUCUGGCUCAGAACAAAAAGAGUGAAACACGUCUGCCAGAAAAAGACCCCACACCAAGAGCUCCCCAUGGCGCCAGAUUCCAAAGCCCUGACUCCAUUGGUCACAUUCUCAAGGUGUUUUUCCACCUCCAGUGGCGGCUUUGGGAGCAGAAGGCCCAGGCCCGCCUGUCCAGGCUGGCCUCUCCCCUCUGCCCCUUUGAAGUGCCCAGCAUGGGGUGAGCUGGAAGGAAACCCUGGGCUGCCGAGGCCCCGACUGUGGCGGCACCUACCCGCCCCCACCCGGCCACCUCCCCCUCAUUGUGCAGCCUGACUGGGCCUUUGUUGCCAGGAGCCCGGGGAAGGGGACAGCCAGGGACCUGGGCUCAUUAUGUGGCUGACCCCAGGCCAGCCCCCUCCCCCCCAGGGUGGAAGGUUAACGUGGCUGCCCGCCACGCAGGCCUGGGCCUCCGGGAGGCCUCCUUCCAGGGACAAAGGACCAGCCCCCUUCCUCCUCUCCAGGCCCCCAAACAGCUGCCGGCCUGCAGAGCCCAUUCAGGAGGGGAGCUGAAGGGCCUGGAGGCGUGCAGUCCCAGGCUUUGAUGGCUCAGGAGUCACCAGGGGGCCUCCUUUCCAAACCUCCUUCCUCCCACCCUGCUCGGCAAACAAAGCUCAAGGGAGCUGCCCCGGCCGAUGCAGGAAUGCUGGCAGUCCUGGGGGAGGAGGGCAGCUGGGCCUAAGGUCAGCCCCUCCCCAAAUCAGGAUAGGGUGGACCUGAUGGAUCAGAAGCCUCUCGGUCCUGCCCGCCUGGGCCCUUGGGCCCUUCUGUCACCUGACCUUUGCGAUAAAGUCCAUAUCACCUAGCCAGACAUGGGAUGGGAGCAGGGUAGCUCCCUGAAAGAGGAAAGGCCAGGACACGUGGCAGUAGAGGUGACCAAAGUCCCUCUAGCCUCCAGCAUCCCCUGCCAAAGGCAGGGUUCCUUUCCUUACUACUAACUACCUACCCCAUAGGAUCCUGGUGCCUGUGCCGAGCACCGGGUAGAACCACGCGCUUCCCUUAGAUUCCCCUUACUUGGAGGCCUAUGCCUUGCACCCCCGGACUGACACGCCACACGCCGUUUUUCUGCACACUGCUUUUCAUUUCAAAAGGCCCCAGGGAAGAUUUUUGGAGUGUUUUAUUUGCUUCAGAUCCUACAGCCGACCCGGGGCCUCCCUGGGGGCACGGCGGGACUCGCUCUGGAACCAGAAGCCGGGCCGCCGUCGUGCAGAGGAGUGGGUGCUGUGCGGCGUCAUGCAUUCACGCGCGUCCCUGCAAGCAGGUCCGCCAACCAUCCCCCGGAACCGGCCCUGUGUUUAACUUUCUUUGCCAGUCCUGAUACCCCGUCAGAUUUCUGGCGGUGCCACGCCGCCCGCCUGGGCUCCUUCUGGGCCCUUAUCAGCCUCUCCCAGUCAGCCUGGCCCGGCACAGCUGUUCCAGGCCCUCAGCCCCUCACUUUAUCUGCUCGCACAGACCUCAACCUGGCAAGCGGCGGGCCCGGCGCCUGCUCCACAUUCCCCAGGAAGCCGGCUGGGAACACAGCCGCCCUGCUCCCAGAAUCCUCUGGGAGUUCAUUACCAGCCCGGGUACCCCAGCCCCGCAGCCAAGGUGCGGACCGCGCCGCCCAGCCUCGCCGCCGGCAUCAUUAAAACUCCAACCUUCUGAAGAGAAGAAAGAACAAAACCACAAAUUUAGAUUAAUAAAGCAUUUGUUGAUUC
Molecule: non-coding RNA, 2180 nt
Organism: Sus scrofa (pig)
Lineage: Eukaryota; Metazoa; Chordata; Mammalia; Artiodactyla; Suidae
Source: RefSeq, a predicted model, not a curated record